AAAAAAAAAAAAAAAGGAUCAAUCAACAUCUAUACUGGUUCUAACAUGGGGGAUCCACAUGGAGCUAUAAAAAUCAUUAGGGUUUGCACUCAGCUCCCAACAGCCCCCAUGGAUGUCGUAGUUGAUACGGUAAAGGAAUCUUCUAAACAUGUGUCCCAGUUAAUUAAUCCUAGAAAACCUCCUCUAACGUGCUUACAGCUCAUUAAUCUAUCACUUACUUUACUUCGUCAGCUGGCCAGUUCUACCUUGCCUUUGGCCCUUUAUCAACAAGAGUAUUUUGUUUGUGCUCCCCUUCAGGAACCUCCCAUUGCUGCUACUCUACUCUCCAAUAUCUCUGCUCUGACAAACACCUGUACUCCCUGUCCUCAGGGUUGUCGGUCAUCUUCCUUUACAUUCAGGAGGACAGAAUGCAGCAUGCUGGGUUACAAAUGUGGCCGCAGAACACAAUGAACUUGUACGUCACAACAUUCCUUGUGUUACCAACAUGACCGUCAAUUCCCUGUCUAGCCCACUUGGGACCUCAUUCCUCUGCAGUCAUACUCUCCAAUCCUGCAUCAGUGACUCUACCCCCGGCCCUUGUGUAUUGCUGGUCCUCUCCCCUCACUUAAUGUUGUAUAAUUAUUCAGAAUUCUUUCUACAGACAAUCCCCUCUACGAGCGGCCCUUCUCCCGCUUCUGGCUGGGAUCAGCCUCGAAGCCUCCUUCUCCUCAGCAGUGACUUCAGGAACACCUUUGGGCCACGACGUUACCUCGACCAACCAACUCCAAGAACAACGCCAGCAGUUACAACAGAUCACCAGGCCCACCAGCCUCCUCUCACUGGGAUGACCCUUUCACACUGCCAGCUGAGACACUGGAAGCUCAUCUGCCUGCACUGCUCUGUGUCUGCGGAUUCGAACCUCUUCCGGAGGACACCUCCCUGACGCCACCCUGCCUUCUGACAAGGUGGGCCCCCACUCUGCUAGCCAUUCUCGGCAUCUUUUAGGCAGUUGCGACUCCCUCUGGUCUGGUGUUAUGCUGGGGCAGUGGCCGCAUCCUGGAGCAAAGUUCUUUGAGGCACAAGUCACUACUUUAAAUAACUUCAGAAGCAGUGAUGGAAUGAAGAAAACAGAAUACUACACACAAGUCACUGCUGGAGAAAGCUCAGCCCCCAGACGAGGCAUGAGGUGCCUGUGCCCUGCCCCAGCCCCUGGCCCUCCAAUGUCCGCAGUGUUUCAGUCCAUUUCAGGAACAAAGGAUGGCCUGCAGCAGGCCCUGGAGGCCACCAUCACCUGUGUGAUGGGUGAGCAUGAGAUCCCCUAGGGGCCCAGGCACACACAGGCUAUGGACCUCACAGUGGCGGCCUUGGUUGUGAUCAUGCUAGGUUCUGUGAUCCAUGGUCGGCCUCCAACCAGCUGCUUUCACAAAUAAUGGGGACCAGCCAUUUCUGUUUUGUUUUAUUUUGCAAAUAAAAUGUCCUUGUACGCUUGA
This is a non-coding RNA of Oryctolagus cuniculus (rabbit), 1469 nucleotides long. The record is from RefSeq and is a predicted model, not a curated record. Lineage: Eukaryota; Metazoa; Chordata; Mammalia; Lagomorpha; Leporidae.